RNAcentral lists this ribosomal RNA (301 nucleotides) under uncultured bacterium. RNAcentral's name for it is "partial 16S ribosomal RNA". It matches the Rfam family "Bacterial small subunit ribosomal RNA", at positions 509 to 807 of the family's 1533-position model. The record is from RNAcentral.
CAGUAGCCGCGGGAAUACGUAGGGUGCGAGCGUUAAUCGGAAUUACUGGGCGUAAAGCGUGCGCAGGCGGUUGUGCAAGACAGAUGUGAAAUCCCCGAGCUUAACUUGGGAACUGCAUUUGUGACUGCACGGCUAGAGUGUGUCAGAGGGGGGUAGAAUUCCACGUGUAGCAGUGAAAUGCGUAGAUAUGUGGAGGAAUACCGAUGGCGAAGGCAGCCCCCUGGGAUAACACUGACGCUCAUGCACGAAAGCGUGGGGAGCAAACAGGAUUAGAUACCCCUGUAGUCCCUGUCUCUUAUAC